Molecule: long non-coding RNA, 647 nt
Filed under: Salmo salar (Atlantic salmon)
Lineage: Eukaryota; Metazoa; Chordata; Actinopteri; Salmoniformes; Salmonidae
Description: lncRNA (ENSSSAG00000087653.1, ENSSSAG00000115445.1)
Source: RNAcentral
GCCGUGGUGAGAGGAAGCUGUUUACAGGCCAUGGUGAGAGGAAGCUGUUUACAGGCCGUGGUGAGAGGAAGCUGUUUACAGGCCAUGGUGAGAGGAAGCUGUUUACAGGCCGUGGUGAGAGGAAGCUGUUUACAGGCCGUGGUGAGAGGAAGCUGUUUACAGGCCAUGGUGAGAGGAAGCUGUUUACAGACCGUGGUGAGAGGAAGCUGUUUACAGGCCAUGGUGAGGGGAAGCUGUUAGCAGGCCAUGGUGAGAGGAAGCUGUUUACAGGCCGUGGUGAGAGGAAGCUGUUUACAGGCCGUGGUGAGAGGAAGCUGUUUACAGGACAUGGUGAUAGGAAGCUGUUUACAGACCGUGGUGAGAGGAAGCUGUUUACAGGACGUGGUGAGAGGAAGCUGUUUACAGGCCGUGGUGAGAGGAAGCUGUUUAGAGGCCGUGGUGAGAGGAAGCUGUUUACAGACCGUGGUGAGAGGAACCAACAGGUCUACUGACCUGGAGUCAAAAACUUCCUACUGGGAUCAAACAUAAUUCCUAGUACUGGUACAGCAAUAACAGACCUCCUAGUACUGGUACAGCUAUAACAGAACACCUAGUACUGGUACAGCUAUAACAGAACACCUGGUACUGGUACACGGCUAUAACAGAAC